Molecule: ribosomal RNA, 253 nt
Filed under: uncultured bacterium
Lineage: Bacteria
Description: partial 16S ribosomal RNA
Rfam family: Bacterial small subunit ribosomal RNA
Source: RNAcentral
UACGUAGGGUGCGAGCGUUAAUCGGAAUUACUGGGCGUAAAGCGUGCGCAGGCGGUUCGUUAAGUCAGAUGUGAAAGCCCCGAGCUCAACUUGGGAACUGCAUUUGAAACUGGCGGGCUGGAGUGUGGCAGAGGGGGGUGGAAUUCCACGUGUAGCAGUGAAAUGCGUAGAGAUCGGGAGGAACAUCAGUGGCGAAGGCGGCCAUCUGGGACAACACUGACGCUGAGGCACGAAAGCGUGGGGAGCAAACAGG